RNAcentral lists this ribosomal RNA (253 nucleotides) under uncultured bacterium. RNAcentral describes it as "partial 16S ribosomal RNA". It matches the Rfam family "Bacterial small subunit ribosomal RNA", at positions 524 to 776 of the family's 1533-position model. The record is from RNAcentral.
UACGUAGGGUGCGAGCGUUACUCGGAAUUACUGGGCGUAAAGCGUGCGCAGGCGGUUCGCUAAGACCGAUGUGAAAUGCCCGGGCUUAACCUGGGAACUGCAUUUGUGACUGCACGGCUAGAGUUUGGCAGAGGGGGGUAGAAUUCCACGUGUAGCAGUGAAAUGCGUAGAGAUGUGGAGGAACACCGAUGGCGAAGGCAGCCCCCUGGGUCAAAACUGACGCUCAUGCACGAAAGCGUGGGGAGCAAACAGG